GACGAACGCUGGCGGCGUGCUUAACACAUGCAAGUCGAACGGAAAGGCCCUGCUUUUGUGGGGUGCUCGAGUGGCGAACGGGUGAGUAACACGUGAGUAACCUGCCCUUGACUUUGGGAUAACUUCAGGAAACUGGGGCUAAUACCGGAUAGGAGCUCCUGCUGCUUGUUGGGGGUUGGAAAGUUUCGGCGGUUGGGGAUGGACUCGCGGCUUAUCAGCUUGUUGGUGGGGUAGUGGCUUACCAAGGCUUUGACGGGUAGCCGGCCUGAGAGGGUGACCGGCCACAUUGGGACUGAGAUACGGCCCAGACUCCUACGGGAGGCAGCAGUGGGGAAUAUUGCACAAUGGGCGGAAGACUGAUGCAGCAACGCCGCGUGCGGGAUGACGGCCUUCGGGUUGUAAACCGCUUUCGCCUGUGACGAAGCGUGAGUGACGGUAAUGGGUAAAGAAGCACCGGCUAACUACGUG
Molecule: ribosomal RNA, 468 nt
Filed under: uncultured bacterium
Lineage: Bacteria
Description: partial 16S ribosomal RNA
Rfam family: Bacterial small subunit ribosomal RNA
Source: RNAcentral